Molecule: ribosomal RNA, 253 nt
Filed under: uncultured bacterium
Lineage: Bacteria
Description: partial 16S ribosomal RNA
Rfam family: Bacterial small subunit ribosomal RNA
Source: RNAcentral
UACGGGGGGGGCAAGCGUUGUUCGGAAUUACUGGGCGUAAAGGGCUCGUAGGUGGCCAACUAAGUCGGACGUGAAAUUCCUCAGCUUAACUGGGGAACUGCGUCCGAUACUGGAUGGCUUGAGUUUGGGAGAGGGAUGCGGAAUUCCAGGUGUAGCGGUGAAAUGCGUAGAUAUCUGGAGGAACACCGGUGGCGAAGGCGGCAUCCUGGACCGGCAUUGACGCUGAGGCGCGAAAGCCAGGGGAGCAAACGGG